GACGGAGGAUGCAAGCGUUAUCCGGAAUUAUUGGGCGUAAAGCGUCCGCAGGUGGCUGUUCAAGUCUGCUGUCAAAGCGCAGAGCUUAACUCUGUACAGGCGGUGGAAACUGAAGAGCUAGAGUAUGGUAGGGGUAGAGGGAAUUCCCGGUGUAGCGGUGAAAUGCGUAGAUAUCAGGAAGAACACCCGUGGCGAAGGCGGCUCUCUGGGACGGUACUGACGCUGAGACGCGAAAGCGUGGGGAGCGAACAGG
RNAcentral lists this ribosomal RNA (253 nucleotides) under uncultured bacterium. Its description in RNAcentral is "partial 16S ribosomal RNA". It matches the Rfam family "Bacterial small subunit ribosomal RNA", at positions 524 to 776 of the family's 1533-position model. The record is from RNAcentral.